GGACCCUGGCCAUCUCUCUGCCAAGGACCGUGUGGUGGCUGCAGGCGCAUCAGCCACGCCACGUGAAAAGCUGUCACACACAGGCGUCCUCCCAUUAUGUGGCUCCAGGAUCGACCUCUACUACACCCACCUGAAGACCGCCAAUGAUUAUGAUGAUGAUGAUGAGGGCAGCAAAGACGAGCUCCAGACUGAAGAGCCAGUAGCAGCAGCAGCUGAGUCAGAAUCAGAUGUGGAAACUGAGCACCCAGAAAAAAAACCCCGUAGACACGGGGAGAACAUACAAACUCCACGUUGAGGACGACCUGGGAUUACCCCCAAGAUUGGA
Long non-coding RNA from Lampris incognitus (smalleye Pacific opah), 325 nucleotides. RefSeq lists it as uncharacterized. The transcript is spliced from 3 exons. The record is from RefSeq and is a predicted model, not a curated record. NCBI's taxonomy places the organism in Eukaryota, Metazoa, Chordata, Actinopteri, Lampriformes, Lampridae.